AUCCAAAUGAUGAAUCCAAAAUAGGACGAAACGCGCAUCAUGUAU
Molecule: non-coding RNA, 45 nt
Filed under: Schistosoma margrebowiei
Lineage: Eukaryota; Metazoa; Platyhelminthes; Trematoda; Strigeidida; Schistosomatidae
Source: RNAcentral